UACGUAGGGUGCGAGCGUUAAUCGGAAUUACUGGGCGUAAAGUGUGCGCAGGCGGCCGCGCAAGUCGAGUGUGAAAGCCCCGGGCUUAACUUGGGAAUUGCGCUCGAAACUACGUGGCUGGAGUGUGGCAGAGGAAGGUGGAAUUCCACGUGUAGCGGUGAAAUGCGUAGAUAUCUGGAGGAAUACCGGUGGCGAAGGCGGCAUCCUGGACCGAGAUUGACACUGAGGAGCGAAAGCCAGGGGAGCAAACGGG
Molecule: ribosomal RNA, 253 nt
Filed under: uncultured bacterium
Lineage: Bacteria
Description: partial 16S ribosomal RNA
Rfam family: Bacterial small subunit ribosomal RNA
Source: RNAcentral